GGUGGGAGUAGCUCAGUGGCUAAGACAUUGGACUUCUGAUCGGAUGUUUGUGAGUUCAAAUCCCAGCACCACCA
This is a non-coding RNA of Ameiurus melas (black bullhead), 74 nucleotides long. The record is from the annotation of a GenBank genome assembly. Lineage: Eukaryota; Metazoa; Chordata; Actinopteri; Siluriformes; Ictaluridae.